This 253-nucleotide ribosomal RNA is filed under the name uncultured bacterium. RNAcentral describes it as "partial 16S ribosomal RNA". It matches the Rfam family "Bacterial small subunit ribosomal RNA", at positions 524 to 776 of the family's 1533-position model. The record is from RNAcentral.
UACAGAGGUCCCAAGCGUUGUUCGGAUUCACUGGGCGUAAAGGGUGCGUAGGUGGUGAGGAAAGUCGGCUGUGAAAUCUCCGGGCUUAGCCCGGAAAUGGCAUUGGAAACUACCUUGCUAGAGGUUUUGAGGGGGGACUGGAAUUCUCGGUGUAGCAGUGAAAUGCGUAGAUAUGUGGAGGAACACCAGUGGCGAAGGCGACUCUCUGGGCUGUAACUGACGCUGAGGCGCGAAAGCGUGGGGAGCAAACAGG